CGGGACGGGUGAGUAAUGUAUGGGGAUCUGCCUGAUGGAGGGGGAUAACUACUGGAAACGGUAGCUAAUACCGCAUAACGUCGCAAGACCAAAGAGGGGGACCUUCGGGCCUCUUGCCAUCGGAUGUGCCCAGAUGGGAUUAGCUAGUAGGUGGGGUAACGGCUCACCUAGGCGACGAUCCCUAGCUGGUCUGAGAGGAUGACCAGCCACACUGGAACUGAGACACGGUCCAG
This 233-nucleotide ribosomal RNA is filed under the name uncultured bacterium. RNAcentral's name for it is "partial 16S ribosomal RNA". It matches the Rfam family "Bacterial small subunit ribosomal RNA", at positions 100 to 334 of the family's 1533-position model. The record is from RNAcentral.